This 301-nucleotide ribosomal RNA is filed under the name uncultured bacterium. RNAcentral's name for it is "partial 16S ribosomal RNA". It matches the Rfam family "Bacterial small subunit ribosomal RNA", at positions 509 to 807 of the family's 1533-position model. The record is from RNAcentral.
CAGUCGCCGCGGUAAUACGCAGGUGGCAAGCGUUGUCCGGAAUUAUUGGGCGUAAAGGGCUCGCAGGCGGUUUCUUAAGUCUGAUGUGAAAGCCCCCGGCUCAACCGGGGAGGGUCAUUGGAAACUGGGAAACUUGAGUGCAGAAGAGGAGAGUGGAAUUCCACGUGUAGCGGUGAAAUGCGUGGAGAUGUGGAGGAACACCAGUGGCGAAGGCGACUCUCUGGUCUGUAACUGACGCUGAGGAGCGAAAGCGUGGGGAGCGAACAGGAUUAGAUACCCCGGUAGUCCCUGUCUCUUAUAC